GACAGAGGUGCCGAGCGUUAGGCGGAAUCACUGGGCUUAAAGCGUCCGCAGGUGGCACUUCAAGGCUGUCGUCAAAGACUGGGGCUUAACCCUGGAAAGGCGGUGGAAACUGAAGCGCUAGAGUGCGGUAGGGGUAGAGGGAAUUCCUGGUGUAGCGGUGAAAUGCGUAGAGAUCAGGAAGAACACCGGUGGCGAAAGCGCUCUGCUGGACCUUAACUGACACUGAGGGACGAAAGCUAGGGGAGCGAAUGGG
Molecule: ribosomal RNA, 253 nt
Filed under: uncultured bacterium
Lineage: Bacteria
Description: partial 16S ribosomal RNA
Rfam family: Bacterial small subunit ribosomal RNA
Source: RNAcentral